UGAUGCGAUAUAAAAUGGAAAGAGGAGACUGUCGUCCUGUCAAUAGGUAAUUGAAGGGUUCCCCGGCGCGCAUCGUAGUAGCCGGCGUGGCGCGGCGCGGCGCGACGCUACGCGUCCAAGUACGCGUGUCUCUCUCGCGGGGCUCCUCUCUAUUCCCAUAGCCUCCCUCUCCGCGUGCAUACGGAUAAGGCGGGCGAUCGUGGCGGCAGGAGCGCAUUGGAAGGGCCAGAACGGCAGCUGUCGGUAGCGGUCGAUGCGAGGUCCGCUCGAAAGUGUCGGGGGCCUACUUCCUCGAGGGCUCGGCAACGACUAACUCUCUGUCUCUCUGCCCGUAUAUGCGUGGCCGGUCGUGUCAGUACUUUUCAGGUCGGUCCACAGUGCAGUUGGCUUUUACCAUCGAGUUUCGACUGGCACACAGUCGCUCGGGCUGCACGACGAUUCGUCGAGUCGCCGUUGGGUUACGCUCGCGAGUGGUCGGUCGGCCGUGCUUCUCCUCGUGCAACGCCGUCAAACCGUAAGUGUCUCUCUCUCGUGUACACAUCCUGCCCGCGCUGUGUCUCGUGCCUCUGUUGUUGUGCGAACCAAAACUCUGCGCCCGUGUGCACGCAUCUCGUACGAGGCGGAAAGAGAGAGGGAGUGCAGCACCGAGGCAGCGUUCGUUAAUACCCGCUUCCGGCACGUGGAACCGAACCGCACUCUGUUUUUCUUCGCAGCGCAUCGCUGCUGCCGUCGCUCCAUACUUCUCUCGUGGGAGGUCAGCACCUAGCCGGUGGGUAGAAGUCGAAAUGUUGUGAUGGCCGGGACAUCUCGACGUCCGAGCUCCGAGCUCGGACCGGACCUUUCAUCCCCCACGCCGCCCAAGAAAUCGAAGUUCUCCGAGGCCUCGAUCGAGGGAAGAUCCGAGAAGGAGCAUGACUUGAGCACCGAGGAGUUGGAGAGCGUGGAGAAAUUGUCGGUCUCGGUGGGAUCCUCGUUACCCGAGAACACGAUAGAGGUAAUAGUGCCGGGGAGCGCGUCAGAGACGAAUCCAUUCGGCGAGGAAUCCGCGAAACAGGUGGGUUUGGAGGGAAAUGUAGCAGCGGCCGGCUCCUCGAAGGAAGGACACUUUGGCAGCUUCGAAACGAUCGCACAAAUGAAGUACAGCGGCCAGAAAGAGUUGUCUGGCAGUUCUAACAAGAGAUCGGAGUCGGACGGCGACGUGCAAAUUCAAACUUCGAUAAUCGGCGAGGAUGCGUCGUAUCAGGAAUUGUCUUUGAUCGGAAAUGGCGCGUAUGGAACGGUGUACAAAGCUAAAGACUUGAACACGGGACAAGUGGUGGCGUUGAAAAAAGUCAGAGUGCCCCUGACGGCAGAUGGCCUGCCUACGUCCACGUUAAGGGAAAUAGCCACUUUGAAACAGCUCGAAAGAUUCGAGCAUCCGCACAUUGUAAGAUUGUUGGACGUUUGUCAAGGGAAUUAUCUACACUUGCCUUCCGCCGAUGGAAGGUCGGAGAGAUUGGAUCGGGGAUUGACGUUAUGGCUUGUGUUCGAGCACGUGGAAAGGGAUCUAGCAUCUUACAUGUCCUCUUGUUCACAGACAGGGAUUCCUCCUCAUGUGGUGAAGCAAAUGUCGAAGGAAAUACUCAGAGGUGUAGAAUUUUUGCACAGUCAUAGAAUCAUACACAGGGACUUGAAACCUCAAAAUCUAUUGGUAACCAGGGAGGGAAGAAUAAAAAUUGCAGAUUUUGGUUUAGCGAAAACGUACGAUUUUGAAAUGAGGUUGACUUCUGUGGUCGUGACACAAUGGUAUCGAGCUCCAGAAGUCCUCUUAGGCUGCUCUUAUGCAACUCCUGUUGAUAUUUGGUCCGUUGGAUGUAUUCUAGCAGAAUUAAGUAGACUUGAACCUCUGUUUCCUGGUACGAGCGAAGGUGACCAACUCGAUAGGAUUUUCCAAAUAAUUGGAACUCCAUCGCAAGGGGAAUGGCCUGAAAAUGUAUCUCUUAGUUGGACAGCUUUUCCUUAUAGACAACCAAAAUCUUUUGCAACUAUAAUAUCUGAUCUCAAUGAAUAUGGGCUAGAUUUAAUUAAAGGUAUGCUUACCUUUAAUCCUCAUAGACGAUUAACUGCGGCUCAAGCCCUGAGACAUCGGUAUUUUGCUGAAGAUGAUUCGUGAUGAUUAGUUUUCUUGAGUAUUUUUUCUUCAUCUCUAAUAAUUUUUUAAAUGCAGACUGAUGUUACGGUAUCCAAAAAAUACAAAAUAGUAUAGUUUAUUACGAAUAUAAUACAAUAUGAAUCUUCGUAAUUAUCUACGGCUUAUAAAUAUUCCUUUCUUAUUGAGGAAUUAUAAUUGCAAAAUACGUUUACUACAGUUUAUGAAACCAUCGUUAUAUUUAAGUUCUAUAGCUAUUGCAUUUGAAAGAUCAUCGUAAUUUAAGUAUACAUAGCCGUUAAAUAGUACAGUAAGUAACAACUUUCUAAGCUUUGUUCGGAUAAUCGUACAAUAAUUUUCAUUAUUUGUGUAUGUAACAACGACAUUAUCGAUAGAUAUAGUUAUUUAUUUAGGUUAAUAUCUAAAUAGCAUUUCCGUUUCUAUUUUCUAUUUUCAUAAUAGUGAUGAAUCUACUCAUAUUUCCACGUUUCAUUUUCACGUUAUAAUACCUUUCUCGACUAGUAAAUAUUUUCUAAUAAAAAUAAAAUAAUAGGAUUUCAUCUUCGCGCACCAAAAACAAUUUCGUAUAAUGAUUGAUUAGGUGUGCCUUCCAAAGUCGUUGAAAUAUUCAUAACCCAUGCCUUAAUUUUCUAUGUAAUGAAACUUAAUUAUAAGCAUAUUAUUAAGUAGCAUUAUUCUUGUAAGACUGGGGCCUAUUGACCCGUUAGAUUCGUUGGAAAGAUAUAGGAUUUCCCACAAAAAA
Molecule: unclassified non-coding RNA, 2891 nt
Filed under: Apis florea (little honeybee)
Lineage: Eukaryota; Metazoa; Arthropoda; Insecta; Hymenoptera; Apidae
Description: cyclin-dependent kinase 4-like, transcript variant X2
Source: RNAcentral